UAGAGGUGCGUUGGAUGUGGUUAUUCCUGUAGCAGAUCCAUGAUGGCUCCUGCAAUACAGCACACGAGAUUUAUCUGAGAUAAUAUAAGUCUCAAAGAGGUGUAAUCUUAGAAGGUGUGUGAAAAUGGAGGAUGGCAAGUGCUAACUACAUAGUUAAUCUUCCUACAGAUUAUGUGCUCUGCAGGAAGCAUAAAAUGAAGACAAUGCAAAGGCCUCUCCCAUAAGCAAGCCUGGGUACAACGAGCCUAAGCCAGUACCAACACCCCAAUCCUCAGCUCGUCAUUAUUUCACCAUGGAGUUCUGGAUCCUAAUCUGCCCAGCUGCCAUGGAUUCCACAGGAGAUUCUUAUCAGGAUGAGAAAAGCAGUGAGCUUUCAGCCUGUCACUCUAUUAUAUACAACCAGAAGCCUGCUCAGGAACGAAGAUUACUCUGGGUAGCAGAAUGAAACUCCAUUAAAAACAGGAUUGAAAGGCUGGGUCUUACAGAGGAGAUCAGAUCAUGAGGACUCUCCCCUCAUGAAUGAAUGAAAGAAUGGAUUAAUGAAUUAAUGGGUUAUCAUAGAAGGGAAACUGGUGGCUUCACAACAAGAUGAGAGAUCUGACCUCGAAUAUUUGCCUGCUCAGCCUCAUUGCCAUGUGAUGCCAUGUCCUGUGCCACCUCUGGACUCUGCAGGGAGUCCCCACCAGCAAGAAGGCUCUCACCAGACAUAGCUCCUCGACCUUGGAUUUCUCAGCCUCCAGAACGGCUCUACAGAUUGAUUUUAAAGCCACCUACACUGCAGUUUCUUCAAUUUAGCUCUACUUAUCUGAUUAUGCAUCACAAAAGGAAGCAGAAAUUCAGCUUAAUUGUGAAGCCAUUGCAGCAGAACCAAGCAAAUGAUAGAAAACCUCAUGAUCACAGACAGAAUCACACUCACUGAUGCUGAAUGAAAUGACAGACAUCCGUCCCUCUGCAGAAGCCUGAAUACUGAUCACAGAAUUUUACGUUCUGACAUUGUGUGUCUCUUGUCAGAUAGUGUUGUCCUUUACUUUCCCCGCUUCAGUUGUGAAAGUCAGGUGCAGUCUCAUACUAUUUUUUUUUAAAAUUCAUUAUGACAAGUAAAUGGUCUCUGGGAAAGCGAACAUCCUCAUCCACUGUUUACUGAAACUGUAACACUGUCAUGAGUGAAGAAUGAAACAUGUUUAAUGUAAAGAGUUUGCAGAAUGAUGAUCAGAGGAAAAGAACAUUAAACAGAAGAAACAUAAAUAUAAGAAUGGGGAGAGAGAUGUAAUCAAAAGACAGCUUGUAAGGGAGGUUACAUGCUGCCAUUUGCUUUUCAGCUGUGUUUUCCAUAGUGGGACAGAUCUUGCUCUUUGUUACUUCUACUUUUGCUUUUUCCCAUCUGCAAAGAGGGAAACAAUCUGCUUUUGAAUCUCUGGUGAAGCAUCACCUAGAAGCUGCUGCCAAAGCUUGAUAUCCAGAGUGCUCUAAAACAUAGUGUGAUGUGCCCUUUCAUCUUAAAGGAUUAUUUUUGGCUGGGCAGACCUCUCUAAGAUAGAUUAUAAGGAGCUGGCUUUUAAAGGCAAUGAAAACUGCUUCUGUAUUCACAUUUACCCCCUCCCUCCAUUAUCUGAGGUAUGUAAAUAAUGUUUUAAAGUGGUGAUGUGAGAAUAUUAAUUAUGUUUUCAUUUCUUGUUCCUGUUACCAUGUAAUAUAUCUUCAAGUGCUGAGAAAACAUCUUACAAAACCAUUAAAGAUUCCAAAUGUUCAUACAUAAAUGGGUGUUAAAAGCGGAUGCCUGAGUUACAUACAAUUAAUGAUACACAGACACGUAUCAUACAUACAUGGACAUGUACCACUGGAAAAAUCAAGUCUACAAAGAAUAAAAAUAUUUCUGUCAGUGAGUAAAAGGCUAAUAAUGUAAUGAUAUCCAAAGGAAAUGCAGGGACACAUAUGGAUGAGCUCGGAUUCCACAUAUUGGGUGACUAAGAAUGAAUUAGCAUAAAUUAUAAAUUUGUUCCAAUUAUAGAAGGUAAUUAUCGGAGACCAGCUUACAGCAUUAUCAAAAUUAAAACAGCAAAGUGCAUCUGUAUUCCAAGUAGAUGCCAUUGAGUUAAUCGUCCUGAAAAAAAAACCAAAAAGACUCUACACUUAUUCAUCUUCUAUUCCUUUGAUUACUAGACACUCUAUCCAAGUUUCCCCUCAGCUGACAGACACAAAGUCACCAUGAAGGAAGAAAAACAUUUUGAAA
Molecule: long non-coding RNA, 2230 nt
Filed under: Homo sapiens (human)
Lineage: Eukaryota; Metazoa; Chordata; Mammalia; Primates; Hominidae
Description: HSALNT0135300
Source: RNAcentral